GCUGGGCAUGGUGGUGCAUGCCUGUAAUCCCAGCUACUCAGGAGGCUGAGGCAGGAGAAUCGCUUGAACCCGGGAGGCAGAGGUUGCAGUGAGCCGAGAUCAUGCCACUGCACUCCAGCCUGGGCAACAGAGCAAGACUCUGUCUCAA
Molecule: non-coding RNA, 148 nt
Filed under: Chlorocebus sabaeus (green monkey)
Lineage: Eukaryota; Metazoa; Chordata; Mammalia; Primates; Cercopithecidae
Source: Rfam by way of RNAcentral